AUUCAUCGCGGCCCGAGGUUUUCUGAACCUUUCGGACCCGCGGAAGUGGGGGCCUGCCGCGGCGACGCGGCUCCCCUCAAAUGCAUCGGUGGGGUCUCCGGACAUCCCGGGCGUUGUACUGUCCUCGUCCGACACGGGUGUUUGAAAGCGAGCCCCUCCUCGACCGUUUUCCGUGCGAGCGGCGGUCAAACUCAUACUUUGAAAU
RNAcentral lists this unclassified non-coding RNA (205 nucleotides) under uncultured Trechisporales. RNAcentral's name for it is "sequence contains ITS2". Lineage: Eukaryota; Fungi; Basidiomycota; Agaricomycetes; Trechisporales. The record is from RNAcentral.